Molecule: long non-coding RNA, 2914 nt
Filed under: Salmo salar (Atlantic salmon)
Lineage: Eukaryota; Metazoa; Chordata; Actinopteri; Salmoniformes; Salmonidae
Description: lncRNA (ENSSSAG00000100392.1)
Source: RNAcentral
GUUUAAUGAGAAGGGUUUUGCUUGAUAGGAUACACAUAACUCUGUGAUGUUGUAUUGGAGAGUGUCUCAGUUUUAAAUCAUUUUCCACACAGUCUGUGCCUGAAUUUAGUUUUCAUACUCGUGAGGGCUGAGAAUCCACUCUCACAUAGGUACGUGGUUGCAAAGGGCCGUGUCUUAACAGUGCGAUUUGCCAAGGCAGGAUACUCUGAGCUCAGCCCAAUCCAGAAAUCAGGCAGUGGCUUCUGAUUUUAAAUGACAUUUUCACAGAACUGCUUGUUGCAAUUUCGGUGAGGCUCUCUUGUUCAGAUAUUGUUAAGUGGACUGGAGGCAGGACAUGAAAGGGAUAACGAAUCCAGUUGUUUAUGUCAUCUGUUUCGGGAAAGUACCUGUGUAAUUGCGCACCCAACUCACUCAGGUGCUUCACUAUAUCACAUUAGACGUUGUCCGUAAGCUUGAGUUCAUUUGCACACAAAUCAUACAAUGAUGGAAAGAUCUGUGUGUUGUCCUUGUUAUGCAGACAAAGAAGAGGUCCAACUUCUUAAUCAUGGCUUCAAUUUUGUCCCACACAUUGAAUAUAGUUGCAGAGAGUCCCUGUAAUCCUAGAUUCAGAUCAUUCAGAACAGCCUCAAUCGUUGGGGCAUAGACUCUACAAGGUGUGGAAAGUGUUCUACAGGAAUGCUGGCCCAUGUUGACUCCAAUGCUUCCCACAGUUCAAGUUGGUUGGAUGUCCUUUGAGUGGUGGACCAUUCUUGAUACACACUGAAAACUGUUGAGCAUGAAAAACCCCUGCACCAUUGUAGUUCUUGACACACUCAAACCAAACCGCCUGACACCUACUCCCAUACCCUGUUCAAAGGCACUUAAAUAUUUUGUCUUGCCCAUUCACCCUCUGAAAGGCACAAACACACAAUCCAUGUCUCAGUUGUCUCCAGGCUUAAAAGUUGGUGAUUCUGAGACCAGUCAUAAAAGGAACUGGUCUCACUAGAAAUAGUGACUUGAGUCAGAGAGUGACUUUCCCCAUCUAGACUGUCAUCUACUAGAACUGUGAUGAAGACAUUGUAACACUAGCCCAAUCAUAGAGAAAGGAACAAGUAUGACAUGGUCAUUCUAGAAAGAGUCACUUAACAUAUCGACCUGAUCAUCAACUGGAACCUGGAUGAUGGCAUUAUUACACUAGUUAGUCUACUUAAAUACACAGUAUUUUAACAUACAGGAAAUAAGUUAAAACCUCAAUUCUCUCCACCUCCCAUCUCUUAUUCAGUCAGCGCCAUGAGGAAGACUCUUCACCUCCCAUCUCUUAUUCAGUCAGCGCCAUGAGGAAGACUCUUCACCUCCCAUCUCUUAUUCAGUCAGCGCCAUGAGGAAGACUCUUCACCUCCCAUCUCUUAUUCAGUCAGCGCCAUGAGGAAGACUCUUCACCUCCCAUCUCUUAUUCAGUCAGCGCCAUGAGGAAGACUCUUCACCUCCCAUCUCUUAUUCAGUCAGCGCCAUGAGGAAGACUCCACCUCCCAUCUCUUAUUCAGUCAGCGCCAUGAGGAAGACUCUUCACCUCCCAUCUCUUAUUCAGUCAGCGCCAUGAGGAAGACUCUUCACCUCCCAUCUCUUAUUCAGUCAGCGCCAUGAGGAAGACUGUCAAUUGACUGUCUUUAUAAUCUCAGUAAGAGUGAAAAAAUACUCAGAAUUACUUUUCAUCUCUGCAUAAUAGAUGGAGGGAGGAAACCACAGCUCUCUGUCGCCAGCUAAUCCUCCUCACCUUCCUCUCUCCUCCAAUCUUAUCACAUAUUAAAGGCUAGAUGAAACAGCAGAGUUCUACACCCCACUAUGUGGUUAGACAUCUGAUCUUGGAGAGAUGUUUAUUCUAUUCUGCUGAGACAUUUACUAUGUUGCUGUUCUUAUCUUUUAUUAAGGGUUCAAGCCAGUGAAGCUGGGCAAACCCUGUUGUAUUUGUUGGCGUUCAUUAUUAUUAUACCGCUUCUUCUUGCGAAGAAAGUUAACAUUCAAAUUCCCGUGAGAUGGUAAGGCCGAAGAGGGUGAAACAUGGUAAAGGCCCAUAGUCUACACUCUCUGGUGCCAAGCCAUUCCAAUUGGCCACAAGGUGGUGCUAUAACAGGUGAUUGAAAUGGCUAACUUGGAAGGGUCACGCCCCUCACCCCAUAUGACCUAGAGUCCUGAAAUUCAGUGCAUAGGUCCCUCUUCUCACAAGGAACACAUUUUCCCCAAGGUCUGUCAUGAUGGAUUUUCCGCCAUUUUGAAUUUUGUGAAUAACACUUAAAUGACAUCUCGUCCGGAACCACUGGGCCGAUCUGGAUGUACAUUGAUGUGUCAUCUAUGGACCAAGGUCUCUCAAUGCAAUAUUUUGCAGACUAUAUGUCAAACCCCAUGGUCACUACUGACCAAUAAACAUUAAUGUGGGGGUUGUCUGGCACAUUAAUGCUAAUUAGACACGGAUAUUCGUAUCGUAACCAAACUUUCCAAACACGGUCAACACUCAACAUAUGUAAGCACAUUCAGAUCGGCCACACGGUGGCGCUAUACAUCUCAAUCUGUUUGACUCAGAGUGAUGAAAUUUGGCACACAUGCUAAGGGAUAUGAGUCUAGCUAAUCUAAAGUAUUGUUCAGUUUGGCCGCAUGAGGGGCGCUGUUGGACAGGAAAAACCACUCAUGCAAGCUCAUUGGCUUAUUGCGGCCAUAUUGUUUGAGCUCUUAUAAAACGUGUGUUUGAAGAUGUGCAUCUAUAGGUGCUAUAUACCACAUUUGGUACCGAUCAGUCUAUCGGUUCUGGAGAAGGCGUUUUAAAGUUGACAUCUAGGGUUGCAAAAUUCCGGGGAACUUUCAAUAAUUUCCCCAAAAUCCUGAUUGGAGGUUUCUAGAAUCAGGAGAGAAUAAGCAGAAUAUCCAGACUCCUGCAACCAGG